Molecule: ribosomal RNA, 443 nt
Filed under: uncultured bacterium
Lineage: Bacteria
Description: partial 16S ribosomal RNA
Rfam family: Bacterial small subunit ribosomal RNA
Source: RNAcentral
CCUACGGGGGACAGCAGUGGGGAAUAUUGCACAAUGGGCGAAAGCCUGAUGCAGCAACGCCGCGUGAAGGAAGACGGGUUUCGGCUCGUAAACUUCUAUCAACAGGGACGAAAGAAAUGACGGUACCUGAAUAAGAAGCCCCGGCUAACUACGUGCCAGCAGCCGCGGUAAGACGUAGGGGGCAAGCGUUAUCCGGAAUUACUGGGUGUAAAGGGUGAGUAGGCGGCAUGGUAAGCCAGAUGUGAAAGCCUUGGGCUUAACCCGAGGAUUGCAUUUGGAACUAUCGAGCUAGAGUACAGGAGAGGAAAGCGGAAUUCCUAGUGUAGCGGUGAAAUGCGUAGAUAUUAGGAAGAACACCAGUGGCGAAGGCGGCUUUCUGGACUGAAACUGACGUUGAUGCUCGAAAGUGUGGGUAUCAAACAGGAUUAGAUACCCGGGUAGUC